Rhincodon typus (whale shark) is the source of this 490-nucleotide long non-coding RNA. RefSeq lists it as uncharacterized. The record is from RefSeq and is a predicted model, not a curated record. NCBI's taxonomy places the organism in Eukaryota, Metazoa, Chordata, Chondrichthyes, Orectolobiformes, Rhincodontidae. The transcript is spliced from 4 exons.
GUCAGUGUCUUUAGUACAAGGAUACCAGAUGGGGAGAUGGGAUCAGGCAGGCAAAGGAUUUCUUUGACCAAAGGCUUAAGUCCAUAUUCCUGGGAGUAUGUCUACGAUCCAUACCCUCAGCCAGAGAAAGAUGGAUGAAUCCACCAACCCAGAGGAUUAAACACUCUGAUAUGUCAUUCAUCAAAAGAAAAACACUUUCGAACCAUUCUGUACCUUAGGCAGUUUGUAUAAUACCCUUUCAGCUCUUGGAUCUGGAUUCAAGUUUAAUCCAUAUUGAUGGCAUUUGAUCGAAUGAAUUUGUGGAUGCAAGAUCAUAGAGACAAACUACACAUACUUCACCACUAAUUUUUCAAUACUUGAUACCACUUACAGAACAUAUUUAAGCAGCUGGUUUAGAAAAUAGAAGUAUGUUCUUUAGAGCCAGGUAUAAUGAUGUCAGGAAUGGUAUCCUCUGCAUGUUAUAACAUAGAUUAAAAUGUCUAUUAGUUCA